UAGGGAAUCUUCCGCAAUGGACGCAAGUCUGACGGAGCAACGCCGCGUGAGUGAAGAAGGAUUUCGGUUCGUAAAGCUCUGUUGUUAAGGAAGAACGAGUGUGAGAAUGGAAAGUUCAUACUGUGACGGUACUUAACCAGAAAGGGACGGCUAACUACGUGCCAGCAGCCGCGGUAAUACGUAGGUCCCGAGCGUUGUCCGGAUUUAUUGGGCGUAAAGCGAGCGCAGGCGGUUAGAUAAGUCUGAAGUUAAAGGCAGUGGCUCAACCAUUGUAGGCUUUGGAAACUGUUUAACUUGGGUGCAGAAGGGGAGAGUGGAAUUCCAUGUGUAGCGGUGAAAUGCGUAGAUAUAUGGAGGAACACCAGUGGCGAAGGCGACUCUCUGGUCUGUAACUGACGCUGAGGUUCGAAAGCGUGGGUAGCAAACAGG
RNAcentral lists this ribosomal RNA (429 nucleotides) under Bacteroidota bacterium. Its description in RNAcentral is "Bacteroidetes bacterium partial 16S ribosomal RNA". It matches the Rfam family "Bacterial small subunit ribosomal RNA", at positions 355 to 776 of the family's 1533-position model. Lineage: Bacteria; Pseudomonadati; Bacteroidota. The record is from RNAcentral.